Molecule: ribosomal RNA, 163 nt
Filed under: uncultured bacterium
Lineage: Bacteria
Description: partial 16S ribosomal RNA
Rfam family: Bacterial small subunit ribosomal RNA
Source: RNAcentral
GAAUUCCGGGUGUGGCGGUGAAAUGCGUAGAUAUGCGGAGGAACACCGAUGGCGAAGGCAGCCCCCUGGGCCUGUACUGACGCUCAUGCACGAAAGCGUGGGGAGCAAACAGGAUUAGAUACCCUGGUAGUCCACGCCCUAAACGAUGUCAACUGGUUGUUGG